RNAcentral lists this unclassified non-coding RNA (1940 nucleotides) under Hevea brasiliensis (rubber tree). Lineage: Eukaryota; Viridiplantae; Streptophyta; Magnoliopsida; Malpighiales; Euphorbiaceae. The record is from RNAcentral.
UUAUAUUGCUUUUUUUUUAUAAAUUCAUUUAUGCAAAAAUAUUAAUUACCACAUGUCACCCUCAAUAAUAAUAAUAAUAGUUAAAAAUAAAAAAUAAGUUAAAAGAUAACAACAAUAACAAUAGUAAUAAAAGGUUAUUAAUGACUAUUAAUUUAAAGAAAAUUGGCCAUUGACUUGUGAUUUUUUAAUCCACUAUCAUAUAAUUUACUCAAUUUUAAAUUAUUUUAUAUCUUUAAUAAAUAUUUUUACUAUAUUGCUAUAUUGUUUUUAUUAUAAAAUCUUUGUUAAAAAAUUCUAGAGACAAAAAAUAUAGUAUACAUAAAAAAAAUUAUAAAAAUAAAAUAUAUAGAUUUAGCUUAUUUAUAAUAAGUGUAUUAUUUUUUAUGUUAAUAAUUUAAUAUUCCUUUUAUUUCACUUUCCUAAGAUUAGUUAAUACUUAUUAUUAUCAUUACGACCAACUUAUGGUAAUUGAAUUGAAACGGCCAAGUAAAUGAAAAAUAUUUUACUAUUAUAAAAAUUAGAUUUGAAUUUUUGUUACUGUCUUUCAAUUAAAUAAUAUUUAAUUAUAAAAUUAAAUUUUUAUUUAAAUAAUUUCUAUUUAUUUGCCUAUAUAAAGUAUGUCAUAAGUGACAUUUGAUACACAUCCAGCACUCUCCUCUCAAUAAGUAUUUUUAUUUUACCUAAGUGCUCUUAAAUUUUUUUUUAUUUGCUCUAUUUUUUUUAUUAUUUCUUUUAAAAAUUAUUAGUUAUCAUUUUUAAAAUUUAUUUAUUUAAAUAUGUUUAAUUAAUAUUAUUUAAUUAUUAAUUUUUAUUCUAAAUUUCUUAUUUAAUAUUUCUUAAAAUUUUUAAUAUUUUAUUUCAUUAUAAUUAUAUAUUGGAAGUCUGAACUAAGUCACUCCGACGCAAGUUAUUAAAUGCCAAGAGAUAGCACAUACUAGCAAAUAGUAAAGAAUAGAAUAACAUACCUUGAAUACUGAUGUAAACCAUAUUUAUAGAGCAGAUGACAAUAAUUUUUCCGCUUUAAUCGGGAUUUCAUACUAGCUCAUUUCCCUUUGCAGAAAUAUCUCCUAAUAUGUCAUAUAUUCCAAGCAAUAAUAUAGGACAUGCUUUCCUUAUGUAACUGACUCAUACCCAAUUACUCUUCUAUCUAGUCGGAAUACAUCUGUCCUUGACCAAGCACUCAUUUUAUCUAAAUACUUUGUGAACUGUCCGAACACUUGAUGUCUUAUCUGAACAUUUGAUAUCUUAUCCGAACACCUACUAUGUCCGAACAUCCUCUCUUCAAGGCCUUUUAUCUUUUUCCGGACUCGAGAUCUGAAUCGUUUACUAUUUGAUUUAGAAAUCGUGUCAUACUAUAUCAAAUAUAUAGAUAGAAUAUUCCUAUACAAAUGUUGUUUAUGUAACACUAAAAUUUAAGUAAAUAAAAUAAAAUUUUAUAUAAAUCUCAAUAAUUAGUUAAGAUUAUAAUGACUAAUUUAAAAAUUAAGAUGCAAAAAAUAUUGAAAUAUAACUCUAAAAAUAUGAUAAAAUAAUAUGAAGACCAAGUCAAUCCAUUAUUGAAUUACAUCCCAACAUAUUUUUUCCCCUUAAAAAAAGUUAAAUGUGAUGAGUACUGCUUGAUCUUGAUCUAAUGUUAUGAUUCUUCGAUUAUAAAGCUGUUUAAUAUUGCACAAGUUUAUUUACUGAGAAUGAUCCCUUUUUGUUUGGUAACAGUUUGGUAGAAUGUUCGGAUAUCUGUAAUUUGAUUGGAGAUGGAGAUGAUGGACCUUAAAUCGUGAAUUAAUUUUCAAUUUAUCAUUUUAAUCAAGCUGAUUUGUAAAAUUUAAUCAACGCUAGCCACUUGAUCAUUUUGUUUCUUCCUGUUCUCUUUCGAUUUUAAUUUAUUUCAAUUUCACUUAAUUUUCAUAAUUUUAAACAUUAAAAAAAAUUAAUUUUGUGAA